AGCGAACGCUGGCGGCAGGCUUAACACAUGCAAGUCGAACGCCCCGCAAGGGGAGUGGCAGACGGGUGAGUAACACGUGGGAACGUACCCUUUGGUUCGGAAUAACUUGGGGAAACUCAAGCUAAUACCGGAUAAGCCCUUAUGGGGAAAGGUUUACUGCCGAAGGAUCGGCCCGCGUCUGAUUAGCUAGUUGGUGAGGUAAUGGCUCACCAAGGCGACGAUCAGUAGCUGGUCUGAGAGGAUGAUCAGCCACACUGGGACUGAGACACGGCCCAGACUCCUACGGGAGGCAGCAGUGGGGAAUAGUGGACAAUGGGGGCAACCCUGAUCCAGCCAUGCCGCGCGAGUGAUGAAGGCCUUCGGGUUGUAAAGCUCUGUCUUCGGGGACGAUAAUGACGGUACCCGAGGAGGAAGCCACGGCUAACUACGUGCCAGCAGCCGCCGUAA
This 447-nucleotide ribosomal RNA is filed under the name uncultured bacterium. RNAcentral's name for it is "partial 16S ribosomal RNA". It matches the Rfam family "Bacterial small subunit ribosomal RNA", at positions 29 to 523 of the family's 1533-position model. The record is from RNAcentral.